AUCGCUUCUCGGCCUUUUGGCUCAGAUCAAGUGUAGUAUCUGUUCUUAUCAGUUUAAUAUCUGAUACGUCCCCCAUCGGGGGACUACAUAUUAAAUGGAUUUUUCGAACAGGGAGUCGGAAAUGGGGCUUGCUCCGUCCGGCUCCACGCAUCGACCCGGUAUUGCAGUACCUCCGGGAAUGGUGCAACACUU
RNAcentral lists this small nuclear RNA (192 nucleotides) under Salmo salar (Atlantic salmon). RNAcentral's name for it is "U2 spliceosomal RNA (ENSSSAG00000086496.1, ENSSSAG00000117286.1)". It matches the Rfam family "U2 spliceosomal RNA". From Rfam's summary of the family: U2 is a small nuclear RNA (snRNA) component of the spliceosome (involved in pre-mRNA splicing). Complementary binding between U2 snRNA (in an area lying towards the 5' end but 3' to hairpin I) and the branchpoint sequence (BPS) of the intron results the bulging out of an unpaired adenosine, on the BPS, which initiates a nucleophilic attack at the intronic 5' splice site, thus starting the first of two transesterification reactions that mediate splicing. Lineage: Eukaryota; Metazoa; Chordata; Actinopteri; Salmoniformes; Salmonidae. The record is from RNAcentral.